This 63-nucleotide transfer RNA is filed under the name Torymus sp. ZJUH_2016035. RNAcentral's name for it is "tRNA-Gly". Lineage: Eukaryota; Metazoa; Arthropoda; Insecta; Hymenoptera; Torymidae. The record is from RNAcentral.
AUUUAUAUAGUAUAAAAAGUACAAUUAAUUUCCAAUUAAUCAGUUUAAUAUUUAAUAUAAAUA